RNAcentral lists this ribosomal RNA (259 nucleotides) under Nocardioidaceae bacterium ISO948_OTU320. RNAcentral describes it as "partial 16S ribosomal RNA". It matches the Rfam family "Bacterial small subunit ribosomal RNA", at positions 29 to 289 of the family's 1533-position model. Lineage: Bacteria; Bacillati; Actinomycetota; Actinomycetes; Propionibacteriales; Nocardioidaceae. RNAcentral also lists the same sequence under 1 other name. The record is from RNAcentral.
ACGAACGCUGGCGGCGUGCUUAACACAUGCAAGUCGAGCGGAAAGGCUCCUUCGGGGGUACUCGAGCGGCGAACGGGUGAGUAACACGUGAGUAAUCUGCCCUCCACUUUGGGAUAACUGCCUGAAAGGGUGGCUAAUACCGGGUAUUCUCCUUGCACCGCAUGGUGUGGGGUGGGAAGUUUUUUCGGUGGGGGAUGUGCUCGCGGCCUAUCAGCUUGUUGGUGGGGUAAUGGCCUACCAAGGCUUUGACGGGUAGCCG